RNAcentral lists this ribosomal RNA (260 nucleotides) under uncultured bacterium. RNAcentral's name for it is "partial 16S ribosomal RNA". It matches the Rfam family "Bacterial small subunit ribosomal RNA", at positions 91 to 354 of the family's 1533-position model. The record is from RNAcentral.
ACGAGUGGCGGACGGGUGAGUAAUGUCUGGGAAACUGCCCGGUGGAGGGGGAUAACUACUGGAAACGGUAGCUAAUACCGCAUAACGCCGCAAGACCAAAGAGGGGGACCUUCGGGCCUCUUGCCACCGGAUGUGCCCAGAUGGGAUUAGCUUGUUGGUGAGGUAACGGCUCACCAAGGCGACGAUCCCUAGCUGGUCUGAGAGGAUGACCAGCCACACUGGAACUGAGACACGGUCCAGACUCCUACGGGAGGCAGCAG